Molecule: long non-coding RNA, 1728 nt
Organism: Gadus macrocephalus (Pacific cod)
Lineage: Eukaryota; Metazoa; Chordata; Actinopteri; Gadiformes; Gadidae
Exons: 6
Source: RefSeq, a predicted model, not a curated record
GCCGCCGCCGCCGUCCUGGAGGGCCCGGCGGCGGCGUCCUGGAGGGCCCGGCGGCGGCGUCCUGGAGGGCCCGGAGGCGGCGUCCUGGAGGGCCCGGAGGCGGCGUCCUGGAGGGCCCGGAGGCGGCAGCUCCUCAUCCAGUAAAGCUAAUCUCUUCUCCAGUGCAUCAUGAACGGGGAGGAAUGUCCGGGGUGCAAAUAGAACGUGUGUCACAUUUCAGAAGAAAUGAGGCGACGUUGCGGAGGUCCAGGCGGUUGGCCCGGUGGAGGUCCAGGCGGUUGGCCCGGUGGAGGUCCUGGAGGAGACGGUCCCGGCGGUGGAGGUCCUGGAGGAGACGGUCCCGGCGGUGGAGGACGGCUGGGGGUCCGGCGGUGGAGGUCCGAAGGCGGCUCGUGAUUAGACCAACCAGCUCCUCAUCCAUGGAAGCAGGAUUGAAGGAGUCACUGGGAUGAAGAUCACUGCUCAGGGGCUGACGACCAUUCAUCUUUCCGGAGAAGCGUCCUCAUGGUGCAGGCGGUCAAACCUCCACCUCUUUGAAGAGACCAAGCAGCUUGAUGACUGACUGGUUCUUUAUACUCAAGACCUCGUCCCGGAGCAGAGGACGGACCUAAGGCCCGCAGCGCAGCCGACUAGAGACUCCAUGUGGAACCGGUUCAAUUAAGUUGACCUCUCCUUCAGGCGACUUAAAGGGAGACCAGAUGUGCGGCAGCUGGGUGUCAUGGUGCAGAGACCCAACGCUGUACUGAACUACACCAGUGUGUCCUACUCCCAUAAACCCUGAGGAUCCCUGGAGAGAAAAUGGAGAGAAAGUAAUUAUUUUCUCCAUUUUAUGUUGCACCACAUUUUGAGGGAAGAAUGUUUGAAUCAAUCUUUGUCAUUUAUUUCUGUACUCCAUAUCUGUAAUCCCAGCUGUUGUAUUUUAACACGGUAGCUGGGAACCCUCUUUAUAGGGAGCGACUAGAGGGACGAGGCUGGAAGCAAACCUGAGCCUGGAUCUUAACCUUCUUUCUAAACCUAAUGCCGCAAUUUAACCGCAAAUAAAGUGAGGCCUAAAGUAACUUGACUCUCUUACCUAAACUUGCUUGCCUAAACUCGCUUGUCUAAACUCGCUUGCAUAAAACCUAACCUCACUUGCAUAAAACCUGAACUUGCUUGGCUAAACUCGUGUCGCUUGCCUAAUACCUGAACUUGCUUGCCUAAACUCGCUUGCCUAAUACCUGAACUCGCUUGCCUAAACUCGCUUGCCUAAACUCGCUUGCCUAAACUCGCUUGCCUAAACUCGCUUGCCUAAACUCGCUUGCCUAAUACCUGAACUCGCUUGCAUAAAACCUAAACUCGCUUAGCUUGACUCGCUUGCCUGUACUCGCUUGGCUAAACUCGCUUGCAUAAAACCUAAACUCGCUUAGCUUGACUCGCUUGCCUGUACUCGCUUGGCUAAACUCGCUUGCCUAAUGCCUGAAGUCGCUUGCCUAAUGCCUGAAGUCGCAUGCCUAAUACCUGAAGUCGCUUGCCUAAAACCCAAACUUGCUUGUCCAAACACGUUACACAAAGUUAACCAUCCAUAAUCUUUAACCCAAACCAGACUUGUCCCUGGGUCGCUCCACUUUAAUUUAGAAGUUUCUUCUUUUACCUCAUCUGCGUUUUGAGUUUCAUUCUUUGAGGGCUUGAAGUGCUUUGGAGGAUAUUUGAACCUUUGUUUGCCGCAUCAAUAAACAUGCUUUAUCUUUA